CUCUGCUCUGUGGCCUCAGCACUCAGGGGCACCACAAACAUUCAGCAGGCAGGGGAGGCUUGCAGGAGCUGGGGGACUCAGAGUCAGUCUGCAAGCCCCCUCCUCUUUUUGUGUUGCACAGCUCGUCUGAACCUGAACGACAUCGCCAAGCAACCCCGCCUGAACAUCCUCAACAACGCUGCCACAGCUCUCAUCUUCAUCACAGUCAUCCUCAACAUCUUCAUCACAGCCUUCGGCGUGCAGAAGACUGGCCUCUACCCUAACAGGAAUUUUGGACCUUAUUAAUUCAUGGGGCAGUGGAUUCAGGGUCUGAGCAGUGCAGCUCUCCUCCACUGACCUCAGCAGGAGCCCAUGGACCAAUGCAGAGAUCUGGGUUCAAUUCAAACCUCUGUGUGUGUCACAGCACACCAGCCCCUUACUGCAAUGCUUCUGCAGCUCUGGGGGCUGGGAGCGCUGCCUUUCCCAGCUACAGCAAACUUUGCAAGAGAGAACUGCAGGAACAGCAGCAGGUGUACCUUGUAAAAGUGCAGUUCUGUAAAUCUCUCCUUAUUUUAGCUGCCUGCUUCACAUAUUCAAUAUUGGCUCAUUUGCUAGAGAAAACUGAAUUAUUUACUUUGUAGGCUAAAGAAAUAAACCCAGUCUUUUUUUUUU
Non-coding RNA from Cyanistes caeruleus (blue tit), 651 nucleotides. The record is from RefSeq and is a predicted model, not a curated record. NCBI's taxonomy places the organism in Eukaryota, Metazoa, Chordata, Aves, Passeriformes, Paridae.